This is a non-coding RNA of Chrysemys picta bellii (western painted turtle), 1374 nucleotides long. The record is from RefSeq and is a predicted model, not a curated record. Lineage: Eukaryota; Metazoa; Chordata; Testudines; Emydidae.
UUAGUCCUGCCUCGAGUGCAGGGGACUGGACUAGAUGACCUCUCGAGGUCCCUUCCAGUCCUAUGAUUCUAUGAAUUCCUCACCAAGGAGGGUUCCACAGUAUGCAGAAAAAAAGCAGUAGCCACACAUAUUAAUAUGUCUCUCUUCUCUUGUAGGGUUAGUAGGUGCAAAGAAAAUCCGGAGGGCAAGUGGAUAUGGAAGGGAGUAUGAAGUUCUUCGUCUUUUGAGCUGUUGUUGUGUUGGAAUGGAGCAGAGAGAGAGAAGCAUCACAGCCUGGGAGGUCCCCAUUAAACUUUCCAUACCGACCCAAAAAGAAACUUUGAAUUCUGUUGACAGUUACUGGGUUGUUGAAGGGUAUUAGCCCAGCAGAGAACGGCAGCCCAGGAGUCUGAGGACUGAUUCCAGGGUUUUCAAGACAACACUGCUGUUUUAAACUCUCAUAGGCAUGGACUGUCAUUCUGUAAAAUUAGUAUUUGUCUUCUUUUAUCAGUCUACAAAACAAAACAUAAAAAAGACUGUGUUCCCAUUUGUUCUUACAGUACCUUCUGAAUUUUCUCUACAAAUAAGGCAAGUGUUAUCAUGCAUGUUUUGCUGUCAGUAGCACAGAUGGUGUGCAUAUGCAGAUUGGUGAUUUUCUAAUCCAUAUAGUGGCACUUGGGAAUAUAUGUAAGUAUUGUAAUAAUGCAUUAGUCAGGAGUGAUGUUGUAACACACUGAGAUCAUACACAUAAAUCUAAGACACCAUGUCUAGACACUCCAGGGAAGAUGGCAUGCCAUGGGUUAGAGCAGGCAUUAAGGGAGUGCAAUAUUUCAAAUAUGAUGGGAAUAUAAUGCAAUUUGCAGACUUUAAUAAAACCAUUGGGGAAUUAAUUUCAGUAAGGGAACAUUCUCUCCAAAAACAUUCAUAUUCUUAGUUUGCUUCAUGGAUAAUCAGAAUGAGAAACUCUUUACCUGUUAUCUCAGGCAUAAACACAGUAUGAUAUCUGUGAAUUGUGCUAGAUCUUUAAUGUGCCGAAUAUGAAAAUAAUCCCUUUAUAGGUAAUGCUUUUGCAGUAUAAAACUGCAUUAUGCAAACAACGCACAGACAGCAUAAACCUUGGGGAUUCAGAAUUUGAAGAGUUUACAAAUUAAUCUCAUAAGUGUUGGUUUGCGCAUGCUCAGAGAGUGCACUCAGCUAUAAAACCUGACCAGCUGAACCUGGAAAGUUUUAAUUAGUAGCUUUUUGAUGAUAAAGUAUUAAAUUAAGAUGUGGUAUUUAUACUUGUUUUGCAUAUAUGUCCCCUUUCUGCUGAAAAGUUAUAGUUUUAACUCCCUUUGCUACCUUGGCUGACUUUCGCUAUUUUGCUGCCUGUAUCACUCUUGGCAUAUAAUUUUA